GGACCCGCACAAGUAGUGGAGCAUGUGGUUUAAUUCGAAGAUACGCGCAGAACCUUACCAACACUUGACAUGUUCGUCGCGACUCUAAGAGAUUAGAGUUUUCGGUUCGGCCGGACGAAACACAGGUGCUGCAUGGCUGUCGUCAGCUCGUGUCGUGAGAUGUUGGGUUAAGUCCCGCAACGAGCGCAACCCUCACUUUUAGUUGCCAUCAUUAAGUUGGGCACUCUGAAAGAACUGCCAGUGAUAAGCUGGAGGAAGGUGGGGAUGACGUCAAGUCCUCAUGGCCCUUACGUGUUGGGCUACACACGUGCUACAAUGGUAUUUACAACAGGAAGCAAGACUGCGAAGUUAAGCAAAUCCCUAAAAGAUACCUCAGUUCGGAUUGCACUCUGCAACUCGAGUGCAUGAAGCUGGAAUUACUAGUAAUCGU
Molecule: ribosomal RNA, 430 nt
Filed under: uncultured bacterium
Lineage: Bacteria
Description: bacterial SSU rRNA
Rfam family: Bacterial small subunit ribosomal RNA
Source: RNAcentral